Molecule: long non-coding RNA, 2117 nt
Filed under: Malus domestica (apple)
Lineage: Eukaryota; Viridiplantae; Streptophyta; Magnoliopsida; Rosales; Rosaceae
Description: long non-coding RNA (MDOM_LNC013275)
Source: RNAcentral
ACUUUUGAUAUAUUGUGUUUGUAGGAGUAACAUGAUCCAAAGAACUUAUUUUUCUGCUAUGUGGGGCUGCUAGAAACUAAAUGAAAAUAAAAGGAGAGCAUCGGGAGGAGAAUAUAGAGGAAAGCAAGCUGCCUUUGCAGCUGGAGGAAAGCAGGUCAGCGACAAAGGGAUCCAAGGAAGUCAGAAGAAUUAGGGGACAGCAACUGGCAAAGCAGAGGAAAUGGAGGAGUCCACACGGGGGACGGAAAAAGAAUCCAAAGGUGGAGAGAGAUCAGUGCGCGGGAGGCGCGGGGAAUAAAAAAAAGACAGCUGCCUUUGGCAGCUGGAGAGACUGCAACGGGAAAGCAGAAAAUAUAAGGGAAGGCGAGAGACGGGCAGAGGUCAGAAAGAAGAAAGAAAAAUAUAAAAAAGGCAGGAAGCUGCCUUAGCAGCUGAAAAAAAGAAAGAAAAAAUAUAAAAAAUAAAGGAUAUAGGCGGACAGCAGAGGUCAGAAAGAGAGAGGGAAAAGCUGCCUUAGGCAGCUUGAAAAAGAGAAGAGAGGGAAGGCAGCAACAGAGGGGGGUCUUGGAGCGGGAGAAGGGACUGCCCUUUGGGCAGUUCGCAGAGAGAAAGGAAAGAGCUGCCUUUGCAGCACAAGGAAAGAAGGCAGACAGCUGCCCUUACAGCGUGAGCGGAAAGAAACAGGCGGGAGAAAGAGGAGACAGAAACUGAGGGGGACUGACGUGAGGACAGGAGGAUUGCAGAAAGCUGCACUUGCAGCUGGGAAGGCGCAGUCCACACGGGCAGAAGACCAGAGGCACGGGCAGACUGGCACUGAAACACUCUUUUCUCUCGGUUAAAUCUUUCCAAAUUUCUACUUUAUUUUUAAUAAUGUGUAAUUAAUUUUAUUUUGGCUAGAGGUUAAUUCGAAACCAUGUAUAUAUUUGUAAUAUGAAUUGAUUACCUUCGGUUGUGAUUUCAUAAGUUGUGAUUUCAAUUUACUUAUCCGUUCGUAUAAAAACUGAUUUGUGUAUGUUGGUUGAGAGUGCACGCUUAAUUUACAUGCAUGAAUUUGAUGCUAGAAUAUAAGUGAAUUUCACCUAAUCGUUAUGAACUUAUUUUCACAAGUAGUAAAGGUUGCUAGUCACAAUCACGUUAAGUAAAUUCUUGGCAAGAGUAUCAUGCUUUUCAUAGUUACGAAUGCCUCGUCAAUGCUUAUAGUUUUCACAAAGUUUAAUGAUCUUUGAUUGUAUCUCUAUUGUGCUUUUCACGUAGGGGACUUUUGAAGAAUGUUUUGAAUUGUUGUAUGCGUUUUCCCGUCCAAUUCAAUAACUUAAGGAAAACUUGAAGAUUAAAAAAGUGUUGUUCACGGUUAAUCUGGAGUUUUGAGAUUCACAAUUUAUUGAAAGAACAACUGAAAAUCAAUUUAAGUUGCAUAUGUGUCAUGUGUGGAGAAUAACCCUCUAGCUAGUCCGUCAUUUAUCAUUUUACCUUAAUUUCAUGUUUUUGUCAAUUCUGUAAUUUAUUUAAGUUUAAUUUACUUCUAGUCAAAACCAAACACCCAUCCAUUAUUAAAUUAUAUUAUUUAGUUAGUUUUCUUUAUUGUUAGUCUUUUAAUUUAAUUUCCGUCCAUUUCAGUUCCUAGUGUUUAAUUUAAUUGUUUUCAUUAUUUUGAGUCAUUUUAAGUGUGUUUCGAGUUAUUAGAGUUUUUAGCCUAGUUUUGUGUCCUUGAGUCUUAUUUAAUAUUUUUAAAUUAAUUUACAAUAGAUUAGCAAUCCCUCCUAAUCCCCGGCCUAGAACGAUACCCUACUUACAUCUAUACUACAAUUGUCAAAAAGAGGGUUUAAUUUGUGUGCUUAGUUAUUUUACGCAUCAGUAUACGAAAGAAUGGUCUCAUGAAUCUAACUUCUUUAGAUUGCAUUCUCCCAAUCACAUAUUCCUUGGACUUAUCGUUUAAGCAUAUAACAUGUAUAUGAGACGACUCAAACAAUAACCUUUUGCCCUUUAUAUUUAAACUACAUUAGUUUAACUUGUGAAAUGUCCGUAAAGUAUCAUCAUAUGAUUGGUUUUAGGGCACAUUUCCAACAGCUACACAGACAUCCUCUACUUCCUACAAGAAGCACAAGUCCGGCUAACGG